This 86-nucleotide transfer RNA is filed under the name Caudoviricetes sp. RNAcentral describes it as "tRNA-Leu". It matches the Rfam family "tRNA". From Rfam's summary of the family: Transfer RNA (tRNA) molecules are approximately 80 nucleotides in length. Their secondary structure includes four short double-helical elements and three loops (D, anti-codon, and T loops). Further hydrogen bonds mediate the characteristic L-shaped molecular structure. tRNAs have two regions of fundamental functional importance: the anti-codon, which is responsible for specific mRNA codon recognition, and the 3' end, to which the tRNAs corresponding amino acid is attached (by aminoacyl-tRNA synthetases). tRNAs cope with the degeneracy of the genetic code in two manners: having more than one tRNA (with a specific anti-codon) for a particular amino acid; and 'wobble' base-pairing, i.e. permitting non-standard base-pairing at the 3rd anti-codon position. The record is from RNAcentral. Lineage: Duplodnaviria; Heunggongvirae; Uroviricota; Caudoviricetes.
CCGCGAGUGAUGUAACGAGGGAGCCAUGUCGGACUUAAAAUCCGAUGACCAUUGCGGUCGUGUGGGUUCGAAUCCCACCUCGCGGA